RNAcentral lists this transfer RNA (73 nucleotides) under bacterium. Its description in RNAcentral is "tRNA-Ala". It matches the Rfam family "tRNA". From Rfam's summary of the family: Transfer RNA (tRNA) molecules are approximately 80 nucleotides in length. Their secondary structure includes four short double-helical elements and three loops (D, anti-codon, and T loops). The record is from RNAcentral. RNAcentral also lists the same sequence under 1 other name.
GGGGGCGUAGCUCAGAUGGAAGAGCGCCUGCCUUGCACGCAGGAGGUUGGCGGUUCGAGUCCGCUCGCCUCCA